GAUGAGGAACGUAGCGAAAUGCGAUAAGUAAUGUGAAUUGCAGAAUUCAGUGAAUCAUCGAAUCUUUGAACGCACAUUGCGCCCGCUAGUAUUCUGGCGGGCAUGCCUGUCCGAGCGUCAUUUCAACCCUCAAGCCCCUCCGGGGGCCUGGCGUUGGGGAUCGGCCCCGCUCCGGCGGCCGGCCCCGAAAUGUAGUGGCGGUCUCGCCGCUGCCUCCUCUGCGUAGUAGAAACACCUCGCAUUGGGACGCGGCGGGCCCACGCCGUUAACCAGAUGAAUUUUUUCAAGGUUGACCUCGGAUCAGGUAGGAAUACCCGCUGAACUUAAGCAUAUCAAUAAGCGGAGGA
This 347-nucleotide unclassified non-coding RNA is filed under the name soil metagenome. RNAcentral's name for it is "partial contains 5.8S ribosomal RNA, internal transcribed spacer 2, and large subunit ribosomal RNA". The stretch from base 1 to 120 matches the Rfam family "5.8S ribosomal RNA", at positions 35 to 154 of the family's 154-position model. The record is from RNAcentral.